RNAcentral lists this ribosomal RNA (511 nucleotides) under uncultured bacterium. RNAcentral's name for it is "bacterial SSU rRNA". It matches the Rfam family "Bacterial small subunit ribosomal RNA", at positions 28 to 524 of the family's 1533-position model. The record is from RNAcentral.
GAUGAACGCUAGCGGCAGGCUUAAUACAUGCAAGUCGAGGGGCAUCAAGGUACACGAAAGUGUAUUGUUGGCGACCGGCGGACGGGUGAGUAAUAGGUAGGUAACCUACCUCAUACUGAGGCAUAGCUGGGAGAAAUUCCAGGUAAUUCCUCAUGAGGUUAUAUGACACAUGUGAUAUAAUCAAAGGUAUCGCAAGGUACUGGUAUGAGAGGGGCCUACUGACCAUUAGCUAGUUGGUGAGGUAAGGGCUCACCAAGGCGAAGAUGGUUAGGGGUUUUGAGAGAGAGACCCCCCACAUUGGAACUGAGAGACGGUCCAGACUCCUACGGGAGGCAGCAGUAGGGAAUAUUGGGCAAUGGGCGAAAGCCUGACCCAGCCAUGCCGCGUGAAGGAAGACGGCCUUAUGGGUUGUAAACUUCUUUACUACGCGAAUAGAGGUUAGUACGAGAUACUAAUAGGAAGGUAGUGUAGUAAAAGCACCGGCUAACUCCGUGCCAGCAGCCGCGGUAAA